Molecule: long non-coding RNA, 1440 nt
Filed under: Anolis carolinensis (green anole)
Lineage: Eukaryota; Metazoa; Chordata; Lepidosauria; Squamata; Anolidae
Description: lncRNA (ENSACAG00000044783.1)
Source: RNAcentral
AUGAAUAAUGUGGACACGCCAUCAUUUGACAUCUUUUUCUCUUUCCGAUUCUCUCUUGAUCUUCCGUUCCUGUCUCUGCUCCCUUUCCUUUCCUUUGCCUUGCUUUUCCUUUGCUUUGUUUUGCUUGCUUUUCCACUCAUUUGCCUUGUCUUGUUUUGCCUUUCUUUUCCUUUUUCCUUUCCUUUGCCUUGCUUUUAUUUUCUUUGUAUUGCUUUUCCCUUUCCUUUGCCAUGCUUUUGUUUUGCUUGCUUUUCCAUUCAUUUGCCUUGCUUUUCCUUUCCCUUGCUUUUCCUUUCCUUUCCUUUUUCCUUUCCUUUGCCUUGCUUUCCCUUUCUUUUCUUCUCUCCUUUCCUUUGCCUUGCUUGGCUUUCCUUUCCUUUCCCUUGCUUUUCCUUUCCCUUUGCUUUGUUUUGCUUGCUUUUCCUUUCCUUUCCUUUGCCUUGCUUUCCCUUUCUUUUCCUUUUUCCUUUCCUUUGCUUUCCUUUGCCUUGCUUUUCCUUCCCUUUCCUGUUUUUUUCUCAUUCCCUUUCCUUUCCUUUGCUUGCUCUCCUUUUCUUUUCCUUUUUCCUUUCCUUUCCCUUUGCUUUGUUUUGCUGGCUUUUCCUUUGCUUUGCAUGCUUUUUCUUUCCUUUCCUUUCCUUUGCCUUACUUUUCCUUUGCUUUGCUUUUCCUUUGCCUUUCCUUUCCUUUCCCUUUCUAUUGCUUGCUUUUCCUUCCCUUCCCUUUCCUUUCCUUUGCUGGCUCUCCUUUUCUUUUCCUUUUUCCUUUUGUCUUGCUUUUCCUCUCCUUCCCUUCUCUAUGCUUUCCUUCCCUUUCCUUUCCUUUGCCUUACUUUUCUUUGCUUGCUUUUCCUUUGUCUGCUUUCCUUUCCCUUUCCUUUCCUUUCCCUUUCCAUUGCUUGCUUUUCCUGCCCUUCCCUGUCCUUUUUCCUUUCCUUUCCUUUCCUUUGCUUGCUCUCCUUUUCUUUUCCUUUUUCCUUUCCUUUGCUUGCUCUCCUUUUCUUUUCCUUUCCUUUCCUUUCCUUUGCUGGCUCUCCUUUUCUUUUCCUUUUUCCUUUUGUCUUGCUUUUCCUCUCCUUCCCUUCUCUAUGCUUUCCUUCCCUUUUCUUUCCUUUGCCUUGCUCUCCUUUUCUUUUCCUUUUUCCUUUCCUUUCCCUUUGCUUUGAUUUGCUGGCAUUUCCUUUGCUUUGCUUGCUUUAUCUUUACUUUACUAUCACUUUGCCUUACUUUACCUAUGCUAUGCUUUUCCUUUGCCUUUCCUUUGCCUAUCCUUUUCUAUUGCUUGCUUUUCCAUCCCUUCCCUUCCCUUUCCUUUGCUGACUCUACUAUUCUUUUCCUUAUCCUUUCCAUAGUCUUGCUAUUCCUCUCCUUCCCAUUACAUUCCUUUGCCUUGCUCUCCUUUACAUUUCCUUUAUACUUUUCAUUCAUUUCCUUUGCAUGA